CCUACGGGAGGCUGCAGUGAGGAAUAUUGGUCAAUGGGCGUAAGCCUGAACCAGCCAAGUCGCGUGAGGGAUGAAGGUUCUAUGGAUCGUAAACCUCUUUUAUAAGGGAAUAAAGUGCGGGACGUGUCCCGUUUUGUAUGUACCUUAUGAAUAAGGAUCGGCUAACUCCGUGCCAGCAGCCGCGGUAAUACGGAGGAUCCGAGCGUUAUCCGGAUUUAUUGGGUUUAAAGGGUGCGUAGGCGGCUUUUUAAGUCAGCUGUGAAAGUUUGUGGCUCAACCAUAGAAUUGCCUUUGAAACUGGGAGGCUUGAGUAUGUUUGAGGUAGGCGGAAUGCGUGGUGUAGCGGUGAAAUGCUUAGAUAUCACGCAGAACCCCGAUUGCGAAGGCAGCUUGCCAAGCUAUGACUGACGCUGAUGCACGAAAGCGUGGGGAUCAAACAGGAUUAGAUACCCGGGUAGUC
RNAcentral lists this ribosomal RNA (460 nucleotides) under uncultured bacterium. Its description in RNAcentral is "partial 16S ribosomal RNA". It matches the Rfam family "Bacterial small subunit ribosomal RNA", at positions 338 to 795 of the family's 1533-position model. The record is from RNAcentral.